Molecule: ribosomal RNA, 1489 nt
Filed under: Lactiplantibacillus plantarum
Lineage: Bacteria; Bacillati; Bacillota; Bacilli; Lactobacillales; Lactobacillaceae
Description: bacterial SSU rRNA
Rfam family: Bacterial small subunit ribosomal RNA
Source: RNAcentral
GACGAACGCUGGCGGCGUGCCUAAUACAUGCAAGUCGAACGAACUCUGGUAUUGAUUGGUGCUUGCAUCAUGAUUUACAUUUGAGUGAGUGGCGAACUGGUGAGUAACACGUGGGAAACCUGCCCAGAAGCGGGGGAUAACACCUGGAAACAGAUGCUAAUACCGCAUAACAACUUGGACCGCAUGGUCCGAGUUUGAAAGAUGGCUUCGGCUAUCACUUUUGGAUGGUCCCGCGGCGUAUUAGCUAGAUGGUGGGGUAACGGCUCACCAUGGCAAUGAUACGUAGCCGACCUGAGAGGGUAAUCGGCCACAUUGGGACUGAGACACGGCCCAAACUCCUACGGGAGGCAGCAGUAGGGAAUCUUCCACAAUGGACGAAAGUCUGAUGGAGCAACGCCGCGUGAGUGAAGAAGGGUUUCGGCUCGUAAAACUCUGUUGUUAAAGAAGAACAUAUCUGAGAGUAACUGUUCAGGUAUUGACGGUAUUUAACCAGAAAGCCACGGCUAACUACGUGCCAGCAGCCGCGGUAAUACGUAGGUGGCAAGCGUUGUCCGGAUUUAUUGGGCGUAAAGCGAGCGCAGGCGGUUUUUUAAGUCUGAUGUGAAAGCCUUCGGCUCAACCGAAGAAGUGCAUCGGAAACUGGGAAACUUGAGUGCAGAAGAGGACAGUGGAACUCCAUGUGUAGCGGUGAAAUGCGUAGAUAUAUGGAAGAACACCAGUGGCGAAGGCGGCUGUCUGGUCUGUAACUGACGCUGAGGCUCGAAAGUAUGGGUAGCAAACAGGAUUAGAUACCCUGGUAGUCCAUACCGUAAACGAUGAAUGCUAAGUGUUGGAGGGUUUCCGCCCUUCAGUGCUGCAGCUAACGCAUUAAGCAUUCCGCCUGGGGAGUACGGCCGCAAGGCUGAAACUCAAAGGAAUUGACGGGGGCCCGCACAAGCGGUGGAGCAUGUGGUUUAAUUCGAAGCUACGCGAAGAACCUUACCAGGUCUUGACAUACUAUGCAAAUCUAAGAGAUUAGACGUUCCCUUCGGGGACAUGGAUACAGGUGGUGCAUGGUUGUCGUCAGCUCGUGUCGUGAGAUGUUGGGUUAAGUCCCGCAACGAGCGCAACCCUUAUUAUCAGUUGCCAGCAUUAAGUUGGGCACUCUGGUGAGACUGCCGGUGACAAACCGGAGGAAGGUGGGGAUGACGUCAAAUCAUCAUGCCCCUUAUGACCUGGGCUACACACGUGCUACAAUGGAUGGUACAACGAGUUGCGAACUCGCGAGAGUAAGCUAAUCUCUUAAAGCCAUUCUCAGUUCGGAUUGUAGGCUGCAACUCGCCUACAUGAAGUCGGAAUCGCUAGUAAUCGCGGAUCAGCAUGCCGCGGUGAAUAUGUUCCCGGGCCUUGUACACACCGCCCGUCACACCAUGAGAGUUUGUAACACCCAAAGUCGGUGGGGUAACCUUUUAGGAACCAGCCGCCUAAGGUGGGACAGAUGAUUAGGGUG